GAUGAAGAACGUAGCGAAAUGCGAUAAGUAGUGUGAAUUGCAGAAUUCAGUGAAUCAUCGAAUCUUUGAACGCACAUUGCGCCCCUUGGUAUCCCGAGGGGCAUGCCUGUUCGAGCGUCAUUUCACCACUCAAGCCUGGCUUGGUGUUGGGCGACGUCCCCUUUAGGAACGCGCCUCGAAACGCUCGGCGGCGUGGCACCGGCUUUAAGCGUAGCAGAAUCUUUCGCUUUGGAAGUCGGGGCCCCGCCUGCCGGAAUACCUACUCGUAAGGUUGACCUCGGAUCAGGCAGGGAUACCCGCUGAACUUAAGCAUAUCAAUAAGCGGAGGA
RNAcentral lists this unclassified non-coding RNA (329 nucleotides) under soil metagenome. RNAcentral's name for it is "partial contains 5.8S ribosomal RNA, internal transcribed spacer 2, and large subunit ribosomal RNA". The stretch from base 1 to 120 matches the Rfam family "5.8S ribosomal RNA", at positions 35 to 154 of the family's 154-position model. The record is from RNAcentral.